RNAcentral lists this long non-coding RNA (557 nucleotides) under Marmota monax (woodchuck). The record is from RNAcentral. Lineage: Eukaryota; Metazoa; Chordata; Mammalia; Rodentia; Sciuridae.
AGUGCUCUACCACUGAGCUACAACUUCAGGCCCUACCCCUCAGUUUUCACCAUGUCUAUAAAUCAUCUGUGCUAUAAUUUACCAAGUAAUUUUCUUUAAAUUGAUUCACUUUUAAACUUACUUAAAAAGGAAAUUUUCAUCAUAUUAGCAAAUACCUGUAUUGUGCUUAUUAUAUAAUAGUAUUAAGUUCCAGGCUCUGUUAUAAACACUUCCUUUUCCCUUUCCUCCCUUCCUCCCUCCUUGUUUCCUUCCUCCCUUCUUUUUAUGUACUGGGGGAUUGAAUUCAGGGUCCCAUGCAUGCUAGGCAAAUACUGAGCUAUAUCCCCAGCCUUUCUUAUUUUUUUAUUUUGAGACAGGGUCUAGCUAGGUUGUCCACGCUGGCCUUGAACUUGAGAUCUUCCUGCUUUAGCUUCCUGAGUAGCUAAGAUUACAGGUGCCACGGCAUGGGGCUAGAUAUGGAGCUCACUCCUUCUUUCCUUCCUUCCUUCCUCCUCCCUCCUUCCCUUUCUUCCUUCUUUCCUUCUCCCUCUCCCUGUUCCUCUCCCCGUUCCUCUCCC